UUCCUUGGAAAAGGACAGCUGAGAGGGUGAAACUCCCGUCCGCCUGGUAGAAUGAGUCUUUGUCAACGAGUCGAGUUGUUUGGGAUUGCAGCUCUAAUUUGGUGGUAAAUUCCAUCUAAAGCUAAAUAUUGGUGGGAGACCGAUAGCGUACAAGUACCGUGAGGGAAAGAUGCAAAGAACUUUGAAAGGAGAGUUAAAGAGUACCUGAAAUUGCUGAAACGGAAGCGAAGGAAACCAGUGUUUGUUGGUUCAUAUUUCCUUGGCCACUUGUGGUUUGGGCG
Molecule: ribosomal RNA, 281 nt
Filed under: Pseudo-nitzschia fraudulenta
Lineage: Eukaryota; Bacillariophyta; Bacillariophyceae; Bacillariales; Bacillariaceae
Description: partial 28S ribosomal RNA
Rfam family: Eukaryotic large subunit ribosomal RNA
Source: RNAcentral